Molecule: non-coding RNA, 337 nt
Organism: Paramuricea clavata
Lineage: Eukaryota; Metazoa; Cnidaria; Anthozoa; Malacalcyonacea; Plexauridae
Source: the annotation of a GenBank genome assembly
CAUGAAGAUUGGAAGAUGGUGAGAAAGAAAUGGAAAUGUAGAAAAAGGAAAACAUUGGAAUAACGUACCAUGAAGAUUGGAAGAUGGUGAGAAAGAAAUGGAAAUGUAGAAAAAGGAAAACAUUGGAAUAACGUACCAUGAAGAUUGGAAGAUGGUGAGAAAGAAAUGGAAAUGUAGAAAAAGGAAAACAUUGGAAUAACGUACCAUGAAGAUUGGAAGAUGGUGAGAAAGAAAUGGAAAUGUAGAAAAAGGAAAACAUUGGAAUAACGUACCAUGAAGAUUGGAAGAUGGUGUGAAAGAAAUGGAAAUGUAGAAAAAGGAAAACAUUGGAAUAACG